Molecule: non-coding RNA, 26 nt
Filed under: Bombyx mori (domestic silkworm)
Lineage: Eukaryota; Metazoa; Arthropoda; Insecta; Lepidoptera; Bombycidae
Source: RNAcentral
UGCCGCUGCGGUGUGUGUUCCAAGCC